Molecule: transfer RNA, 84 nt
Filed under: Amphibolurus muricatus
Lineage: Eukaryota; Metazoa; Chordata; Lepidosauria; Squamata; Agamidae
Description: tRNA-Gln
Source: RNAcentral
ACCAAACAGCUUCUAGAGGAAAAGGAUUCGAACCUUCAUUUAAAAAUUCAAAAUUUUUAGUACUCCCAUCUAUACUAUCCCCUA